CCUACGGGAUGCUGCAGUCGAGAAUCAUUCACAAUGGGGGAAACCCUGAUGGUGCGACGCCGCGUGGGGGAAUGAAGGUCUUCGGAUUGUAAACCCCUGUCAUGUGGGAGCAAAUUAAAAAGAUAGUACCCCACGAGGCAGAGACUGCUAACUCUGUGCCAGCAGCCGCGGUAAUACAGAGGUCUCAAGCGUUGUUCGGAAUCACUGGGCGUAACGCGUGCGUAGGCUGUUUCGUACGUCGUGUGUGAACGGCGCGGGCGCAACCCGCGGACGGCACAUGAUACUGCGAGACUAGAGUAAGGGAGGGGGAACCGGAAUUCUCGGUGUAGCAGUGAAAUGCGUAGAUAUCGAGAGGAACACUCGUGGCGAAGGCGGGUUCCUGGACAUUAACUGACGCUGAGGCACGAAGGCCAGGGGAGCGAAAGGGAUUAGAUACCCCUGUAGUC
This 446-nucleotide ribosomal RNA is filed under the name uncultured bacterium. Its description in RNAcentral is "partial 16S ribosomal RNA". It matches the Rfam family "Bacterial small subunit ribosomal RNA", at positions 338 to 795 of the family's 1533-position model. The record is from RNAcentral.